UGGGGAAUAUUGGACAAUGGGCGCAAGCCUGAUCCAGCCAUGCCGCGUGAGUGAUGAAGGCCCUAGGGUUGUAAAGCUCUUUCACCGGUGAAGAUAAUGACGGUAACCGGAGAAGAAGCCCCGGCUAACUUCGUGCCACCAGCCGCGGUAAUACGAAGGGGGCUAGCGUUGUUCGGAUUUACUGGGCGUAAAGCGCACGUAGGCGGACUUUUAAGUCAGGGGUGAAAUCCCGGGGCUCAACCCCGGAACUGCCUUUGAUACUGGAAGUCUUGAGUAUGGUAGAGGUGAGUGGAAUUCCGAGUGUAGAGGUGAAAUUCGUAGAUAUUCGGAGGAACACCAGUGGCGAAGGCGGCUCACUGGACCAUUACUGACGCUGAUGUGCGAAAGCGUGGGGAUCAAACAGG
Molecule: ribosomal RNA, 404 nt
Filed under: Actinomycetes bacterium
Lineage: Bacteria; Bacillati; Actinomycetota; Actinomycetes
Description: Actinobacteria bacterium partial 16S ribosomal RNA
Rfam family: Bacterial small subunit ribosomal RNA
Source: RNAcentral